This 71-nucleotide transfer RNA is filed under the name Danio rerio (zebrafish). It matches the Rfam family "tRNA". Rfam says of the family: Transfer RNA (tRNA) molecules are approximately 80 nucleotides in length. Lineage: Eukaryota; Metazoa; Chordata; Actinopteri; Cypriniformes; Danionidae. The record is from Rfam by way of RNAcentral.
GCAUUGGUGGUUCAGAGGUAAUAUUCUCACCUGCCACAUUUGAGUCCCAGGUCCGAUUCCUGGCCAAUGCA